This 253-nucleotide ribosomal RNA is filed under the name uncultured bacterium. RNAcentral's name for it is "partial 16S ribosomal RNA". It matches the Rfam family "Bacterial small subunit ribosomal RNA", at positions 524 to 776 of the family's 1533-position model. The record is from RNAcentral.
UACGGGGGGGACAAGCGUUGUUCGGAUUUACUGGGCGUAAAGGGCGCGUAGGCGGGUCUUCAAGUUGGAUGUGAAAUCCGGUAGCUUAACUACCGGCCUGCAUUCAAAACUGUUGAUCUUGAGUCGGGAAGAGGAAAGCGGAAUUCCAGGUGUAGCGGUGAAAUGCGUAGAUAUCUGGAAGAACACCGGUAGCGAAGGCGGCUUUCUGGUCCCACACUGACGCUAAAGCGCGAAGGCAUGGGUAGCAAACAGG